CAGCAUCUGAUAUGUCUGGUAUUCUUGGGUUGAGCUUAGUUCCAACCGAGAAAUAUAAGACAUAUCGAAUGUUUU
Rhabditophanes sp. KR3021 is the source of this 75-nucleotide non-coding RNA. NCBI's taxonomy places the organism in Eukaryota, Metazoa, Nematoda, Chromadorea, Rhabditida, Alloionematidae. The record is from Rfam.